Molecule: ribosomal RNA, 302 nt
Filed under: uncultured Bradyrhizobium sp.
Lineage: Bacteria; Pseudomonadati; Pseudomonadota; Alphaproteobacteria; Hyphomicrobiales; Nitrobacteraceae
Description: bacterial SSU rRNA
Rfam family: Bacterial small subunit ribosomal RNA
Source: RNAcentral
CGAACGCUGGUCGCAGGCUUAACACAUGCAAGUCGAGCGGGCGUAGCAAUACGUCAGCGGUAGACUGGUGCGUAACGCGUGGGAACGUACCUUUUGGUUCGGAACAACACAGGGAAACUUGUGCUAAUACCGGAUAAGCCCUUACGGGGAAAGAUUUAUCGCCGAAAGAUCGGCCCGCGUCUGAUUAGCUAGUUGGUGAGGUAAUGGCUCACCAAGGCGACGAUCAGUAGCUGGUCUGAGAGGAUGAUCAGCCACAUUGGGACUGAGACACGGCCCAAACUCCUACGGGAGGCAGCAGUGGG